UUAUAUUUGAUGUAUAUAUUUGCAUAUUAAAUUUUGAUUUUAAAGGAAUUAAUAAUAUUUAAUAAUAUAAA
This 71-nucleotide transfer RNA is filed under the name Bombus lucorum (white-tailed bumblebee). RNAcentral's name for it is "tRNA-Gln". Lineage: Eukaryota; Metazoa; Arthropoda; Insecta; Hymenoptera; Apidae. The record is from RNAcentral. RNAcentral also lists the same sequence under 1 other name.